UGUUGGUGAUUUAACGCCGUGGGUACACCCGAUCCCAUUCCGAACUCGGCAGUUAAGCGCGGUAGUGGCGAUGGUACCCGGCGCUUUGCGCGGAAGCGGCAAGGCAAGUUCGUCAAGUU
This 119-nucleotide ribosomal RNA is filed under the name bacterium. The record is from RNAcentral.